UAGGGGAUCUUCCACAAUGGACGCAAGUCUGAUGGAGCAACGCCGCGUGAGUGAAGAAGGUUUUCGGAUCGUAAAGCUCUGUUGUUGGUGAAGAAGGAUAGAGGUAGUAACUGGCCUUUAUUUGACGGUAAUCAACCAGAAAGUCACGGCUAACUACGUGCCAGCAGCCGCGGUAAUACGUAGGUGGCAAGCGUUGUCCGGAUUUAUUGGGCGUAAAGCGAGCGCAGGCGGAAGAAUAAGUCUGAUGUGAAAGCCCUCGGCUUAACCGAGGAACUGCAUCGGAAACUGUUUUUCUUGAGUGCAGAAGAGGAGAGUGGAAUUCCAUGUGUAGCGGUGGAAUGCGUAGAUAUAUGGAAGAACACCAGUGGCGAAGGCGACUCUCUGGUCUGCAACUGACGCUGAGGCUCGAAAGCAUGGGUAGCGAACAGG
Molecule: ribosomal RNA, 429 nt
Filed under: bacterium
Lineage: Bacteria
Description: partial 16S ribosomal RNA
Rfam family: Bacterial small subunit ribosomal RNA
Source: RNAcentral